This 637-nucleotide ribosomal RNA is filed under the name uncultured bacterium. RNAcentral describes it as "bacterial SSU rRNA". It matches the Rfam family "Bacterial small subunit ribosomal RNA", at positions 607 to 1244 of the family's 1533-position model. The record is from RNAcentral.
GCUCAACCGGGGAGGGUCAUUGGAAACUGGGGAACUUGAGUGCAGAAGAGGAGAGUGGAAUUCCACGUGUAGCGGUGAAAUGCGUAGAGAUGUGGAGGAACACCAGUGGCGAAGGCGACUCUCUGGUCUGUAACUGACGCUGAGGCGCGAAAGCGUGGGGAGCGAACAGGAUUAGAUACCCUGGUAGUCCACGCCGUAAACGAUGAGUGCUAAGUGUUAGAGGGUUUCCGCCCUUUAGUGCUGCAGCAAACGCAUUAAGCACUCCGCCUGGGGAGUACGGUCGCAAGACUGAAACUCAAAGAAAUUGACGGGGGCCCGCACAAGCGGUGGAGGAUGUGGUUUAAUUCGAAGCAACGCGAAGAACCUUACCAGGUCUUGACAUCCUCUGACAACCCUAGAGAUAGGGCUUCCCCUUCGGGGGCAGAGUGACAGGUGGUGGAUGGUUGUCGUCAGCUCGUGUCGUGAGAUGUUGGGUUAAGUCCCGCAACGAGCGCAACCCUUGAUCUUAGUUGCCAGCAUUCAGUUGGGCACUCUAAGGUGACUGCCGGUGACAAACCGGAGGAAGGUGGGGAUGACGUCACAUCAUCAUGCCCCUUAUGACCUGGGCUACACACGUGCUACAAUGGGCAGAACAAAG